Molecule: transfer RNA, 61 nt
Filed under: Cricetulus griseus (Chinese hamster)
Lineage: Eukaryota; Metazoa; Chordata; Mammalia; Rodentia; Cricetidae
Rfam family: tRNA
About the family: Transfer RNA (tRNA) molecules are approximately 80 nucleotides in length. Their secondary structure includes four short double-helical elements and three loops (D, anti-codon, and T loops).
Source: Rfam by way of RNAcentral
UGUAGCUCAGUGAUAGAGUACAUGCCUACCAUGCAUGAGGUCCUGGGUUCAAGCUCUAGCA